GCCGUGGGGUAAGUAGAGGCAGCACUGAUGGUGAGGUGGGGGCACUUUGUGCGGGAGCUGCCACGGACUGGCUGUGUCUGAGGCUCAUCCAGAAGACAGAGGUCCUCUCCACUGACCAAUUGUUCCACUGAUAAUGUCGUGUGCCACGUGCAGGACCUGCUAUUUUUUUCAUCUAGGACACAUCACCAAGGCUACAGAAAGUCCUGAGGCCAACAGCCAGGAGGAAAGUCCAUAGACCCACCCUAGGUCAAGGCCCAAAUAGGAACCACUGUCCGUGGUGCUGGUCACAGAUGCCACUGUUCACACCACUGGUCCAUGAGGCAAGGACUGCUAUGGCUACUGCCCCUGGCAGGUGGAUGACAGGACUGCCACUCACAUCGCCUGUGCCAAAUGCAUCAGCACUGUCCCAGCUUCCCUGUCUCCACAUCCUGAGUCAGAGUCUGAGCACACCUCCAGCAACUCUACUUCCGACCAUCAGAACUGCUGCUCAAACAAC
Long non-coding RNA from Herpailurus yagouaroundi (jaguarundi), 496 nucleotides. RefSeq lists it as uncharacterized. The transcript is spliced from 3 exons. The record is from RefSeq and is a predicted model, not a curated record. NCBI's taxonomy places the organism in Eukaryota, Metazoa, Chordata, Mammalia, Carnivora, Felidae.